UAUUCUGCCCCAUGGGGAAGGAUGAGAAGCUUCGACUAAGGUUCGACUCGAGCGCCAGCGAGAGAACGUU
This 70-nucleotide small RNA is filed under the name Klebsiella pneumoniae. RNAcentral's name for it is "partial RtT sRNA". It matches the Rfam family "RtT RNA", at positions 1 to 69 of the family's 130-position model. Rfam says of the family: This family represents a bacterial cis-regulatory element known as RtT RNA. The exact function of RtT is unknown although it is thought that it may be involved in changing the cellular response in relation to amino acid starvation. Lineage: Bacteria; Pseudomonadati; Pseudomonadota; Gammaproteobacteria; Enterobacterales; Enterobacteriaceae. The record is from RNAcentral.